CGGGGUUAAAAAACAAAAAAAGGGAAACGAAAAGAAUGGAGAAGCAGAUCUGAUUCAUGUGCGCAAUACAUAAAAUAUACAGGACGAGUCAACCUCCGUCCAGCUGACACCACAGCUGGCCUCCACCAUCAUGCGGCGAGUGGUCGUUUUUGGAGCGCUCCCCUGGGCUGCCGUGUUGGUUCUGCUCGGAGCCUCCGUUGAAGCUGCAGCUGGCGUGGUUCGUCUCCAGCAGGUGGCUUACCAGGGCGAGGCGGUCACGUUGCCGUCCGACGGCGACCCGACCCAGACGCUGGCGUCUAUUAAAUGGUCAGUGUUCUUCAACGAGACUUGGAUCGCCACCUUUCACGGCGGGAAGAUAAACACGGAGCGGUUCUUCCUGUUCAGGGGACGACUCACUCUCAACACUUCGUCGGGCGACUUGACGAUCCGCAACCUGAGCCAAGAGGACGCGGGAGACUACAGCGUGGAGCUGGUGGACACAGAGAAGCGCAGUGUGGAGAGAGUGGUGACGCUGGUGGUUAAAAGACACCUCCAGAAACCAAGCGUCGAGACGCUGUUCUCUGUGCAUAAGGACAGCAGCUGCUGGGUGGGACUCCGCUGUUUGUCCCCGGAUUUGGGCACCAAUCUCUCCUGGAAGAUGGAACCCUCGCUUCGGACCGCCUACAACAUGUUCGACCCCGACGGCGGGGCCGGGGUUCUUCUCGUCCUCGUCGCAGUCCGCAACAGCACACACUUUACCUGUACCUCCAGCCGCGAUCCGGAAAACAUCUCCAACACCAUCCGCAUCCAGUGUGCGAUGACGUCAGGGCGGCAGACCCGCGGUCGGGACAGCCUUUUUGUCUUGGCGGGACUCGUCAGUGGCGGCUUUCUGAUGGCCGUUUUGCUCAAGCACUUGCAAGGUGACCGCCAAAGAGUUAGCACGUAGCUAUCUGGUAGCAUCAGCGCAUGGAUGGGCAAUUAACCUUUUGUUUAUGGGGCAAGAAGAUAAAGAAGAAGUCAAAGGAGCAAGAGAAGAAAAUGGAUAGAUGGGAUUGGCGAUUGUUUCGGGGCUACAUUACAUCGGGAAAGUCCUCACAGUGCUUCACUUCCCAUUUUGCUGUAUUGCAAAACUGAUGUAUUUCAACCCAAAAUCGACUGUAUGUGACUUGAGUAUUUAUUUUUCUGACAACUUUGUACUUUUUAUCCCUACAUUGGACGUGUUUUGAAUUUGAAUGAAUGUUUUUGAAAUACGAGGCAUCGCAUGGGCAGUUGUUUUCCUU
Syngnathoides biaculeatus (alligator pipefish) is the source of this 1259-nucleotide RNA transcript. It is a transcript of the gene named SLAM family member 9-like, with no coding region annotated. NCBI's taxonomy places the organism in Eukaryota, Metazoa, Chordata, Actinopteri, Syngnathiformes, Syngnathidae. The transcript is spliced from 7 exons. The record is from RefSeq and is a predicted model, not a curated record.